Molecule: ribosomal RNA, 468 nt
Filed under: uncultured bacterium
Lineage: Bacteria
Description: partial 16S ribosomal RNA
Rfam family: Bacterial small subunit ribosomal RNA
Source: RNAcentral
GAUGAACGCUGGCGGCGUGCUUAACACAUGCAAGUCGAGCGGAAAGACCCUGCUUUUGUGCGGUUCUCGUUUGGCGAACGGGUGAGUAUCACGCGUGUAUCCUGCACCUGACUUUGUGAUAACAUCUCGAGACUCGGGCUAAUAUCCGGUAGGAGCUCCUGCUGCAUGGUGGGGGAUGGAGAGUUUCGGCGGUUGGGGAUGGACUGGCGGCUUAUCAGCUUGUUGGUGGGGUAGUGGCUUACCAAGGUUUUGACGGGUAGCCGGCCUGAGAGGGUGACCGGCCACAUUGGGACUGAGAUACGGCCCAGACUCCUACGGGAGGCAGCAGGGGGGAAUAUUGCACAAUGGGCGGAAGCCUGAUGCAGCAACGCCGCGUGCGGGAUGACGGCCUUCGGGUUGUAAACCGCUUUCGCCUGUGACGAAGCGUGAGUGACGGUAAUGGGUAAAGAAGCACCGGCUAACUACGUG